AUCUUAUAACACUGCUUUUUAUCACAUUAUCCCCCUCCUCUGCAACCUUCCAUGGUUCCCCAUUACCUUGAGAUAAACUGCAAAUGCAUAUCUUUUACAUACUGUCAACAGCAGAGCUUUUCUAGCUGUACUUUCCUACUGCCGUAUAUAAGCCCCCCUGAGAUCUUAUUGGUAUCCUUAUUGUCUCCUAAACUUCAUACAUACGUUUUUAUGUAUAUGCAGG
Molecule: long non-coding RNA, 223 nt
Filed under: Pan troglodytes (chimpanzee)
Lineage: Eukaryota; Metazoa; Chordata; Mammalia; Primates; Hominidae
Description: long non-coding RNA NONPTRT013819
Source: RNAcentral